This 26-nucleotide ribosomal RNA is filed under the name Harrisia fragrans. The record is from RNAcentral. RNAcentral also lists the same sequence under 1 other name. Lineage: Eukaryota; Viridiplantae; Streptophyta; Magnoliopsida; Caryophyllales; Cactaceae.
UGGGAAGUCCUCGUGUUGCACCCAUU